GACGAACGCUGGCGGCGUGCCUAAUACAUGCAAGUUGAGCGCUGAAGGUUGGUACUUGUACCAACUGGAUGAGCAGCGAACGGGUGAGUAACGCGUGGGGAAUCUGCCUUUGAGCGGGGGACAACAUUUGGAAACGAAUGCUAAUACCGCAUAAAAACUUUAAACACAAGUUUUAAGUUUGAAAGAUGCAAUUGCAUCACUCAAAGAUGAUCCCGCGUUGUAUUAGCUAGUUGGUGAGGUAAAGGCUCACCAAGGCGAUGAUACAUAGCCGACCUGAGAGGGUGAUCGGCCACAUUGGGACUGAGACACGGCCCAAACGCCUACGGGAGGCAGCAGUAGGGAAUCUUCGGCAAUGGACGAAAGUCUGACCGAGCAACGCCGCGUGAGUGAAGAAGGUUUUCGGAUCGUAAAACUCUGUUGGUAGAGAAGAACGUUGGUGAGAGUGGAAAGCUCAUCAGGUGACGGUAACUACCCAGAAAGGGACGGCUAACUACGUG
RNAcentral lists this ribosomal RNA (497 nucleotides) under uncultured bacterium. RNAcentral's name for it is "partial 16S ribosomal RNA". It matches the Rfam family "Bacterial small subunit ribosomal RNA", at positions 28 to 507 of the family's 1533-position model. The record is from RNAcentral.